RNAcentral lists this ribosomal RNA (659 nucleotides) under uncultured bacterium. RNAcentral's name for it is "bacterial SSU rRNA". It matches the Rfam family "Bacterial small subunit ribosomal RNA", at positions 9 to 685 of the family's 1533-position model. The record is from RNAcentral.
GAGUUUGAUCCUGGCUCAGAAUGAACGUUGGCGGCGUGGAUUAGGCAUGCAAGUCGUACGGGCCGCAAGGCCAGUGGCGCAAGGGUGAGUAAGGCGACGGUAACCAACCCCGUGACUGGGUAUAGCCGUGGGAAACCGCGGGUAAUCCCCAGCGACGUCCGGGAGGGGCAUCCCUCCGGGACCAAAGCUCCGGCGUCGCGGGACGGGCCGUCGUGCUAUUAGCUUGUUGGCGGGGUGACGGCCCACCAAGGCUGUGAUGGCUACCGGGCGUGCGAGCGUGGCCCGGCACACUGGGACUGAGACACUGCCCAGACUCCUACGGGAGGCUGCAGUCGGGAAUCUUCGGCAAUGGGCGCAAGCCUGACCGAGCGACGCCGCGUGGAGGACGAAGGCCUUCGGGUUGUAAACUCCUGUCGAGGGGGAAGAAGGCCGGGAAACCGGCUUGACUUAUCCCUGGAGGAAGCACGGGCUAAGUUCGUGCCAGCAGCCGCGGUAAGACGAACCGUGCGAACGUUAUUCGGAAUCACUGGGCUUAAAGCGCGUGUGGGCGGAACGGCACGUCGGUCGCUGAAAUCCCCCGGCUCAACCGGGGAACGGGCGCCGAUACGACCGUUCUGGAGGAACGUAGGGGGACCUGGAACUUCCGGUGGAGCGGUGAA